GUGGGGAAUAUUGGACAAUGGGGGGAACCCUGAUCCAGCCAUGCCGCGUGUGUGAAGAAGGCCUUUUGGUUGUAAAGCACUUUAAGCGAGGAGGAGGCUACCGAGAUUAAUACUCUUGGAUAGUGGACGUUACUCGCAGAAUAAGCACCGGCUAACUCUGUGCCAGCAGCCGCGGUAAUACAGAGGGUGCAAGCGUUAAUCGGAUUUACUGGGCGUAAAGCGCGCGUAGGUGGCCAAUUAAGUCAAAUGUGAAAUCCCCGAGCUUAACUUGGGAAUUGCAUUGGAUACUGGUUGGCUAGAGUAUGGGAGAGGAUGGUAGAAUUCCAGGUGUAGCGGUGAGAUGCGUAGAGAUCUGGAGGAAUACCGAUGGCGAAGGCAGCCAUCUGGCCUAAUACUGACACUGAGGUGCGAAAGCAUGGGGAGCAAACAGGAUUAGAAACCCUAGUAGUCC
RNAcentral lists this ribosomal RNA (451 nucleotides) under uncultured bacterium. RNAcentral's name for it is "partial 16S ribosomal RNA". It matches the Rfam family "Bacterial small subunit ribosomal RNA", at positions 354 to 796 of the family's 1533-position model. The record is from RNAcentral.